This 3925-nucleotide long non-coding RNA is filed under the name Homo sapiens (human). RNAcentral describes it as "non-protein coding lnc-KIAA1328-2:2". The record is from RNAcentral. Lineage: Eukaryota; Metazoa; Chordata; Mammalia; Primates; Hominidae.
UCCCUCGGGAAAUCGCACCAUUCGCCACUGUACAACAAAUUGAUGUUCACAGCAUAAUAAUUAUCCAUGUGCUGCAAACAAUAGGCCACACAAUUACCAACCAGGACAAUGCCCUACACAGGGCAAAGUAAAGUUACAAAAUGAGGUGAUUGUACAGAUAGUUGAGGAAAUAGCCCCACAAAAAAAGGGAGGUGGGCAAGUUGUCAUUUAUUGAGCAUUGUUCAGGAAGGAAGAGUUACAAAUAACUGAAUUUUCCUGAACACCAAAACUUAUUGUUUAAGCACAAAAUGUUUCAUUUUCAAAAUGCAUUCAUUGUGGAUGGAUAUCUUACUUAAAAUGUAUUAUUAAUCCUUCUCUCUAGUUAAACAGAGUCUAUAAAUGUGAUUAUAUUUUGAUAGUUCUCUCGAUUAAACAAACAAACAAAACAUUUAUUAGGGAAAGGUGGCCCAGAAACUACUACCUGGGUUAAGAAUGUGACCACAUUCUUGUAAUGCCUCCCAUUUUCUACAGAAGGAUGGCAUGAAGACAUGUAAGUACACUUGUAGAGGCAUUAUUCCAAAGGAGUUCACAGGUUCCUAUGUAAACCCUGCAGGUGCAAAGCAACAUAAGCCAAACAGAUGAUAUUUCUAAAAUUAAAUGAGAUACAACUACAGACACUUAAAAUAAUUUGAUGCUAUUUUUGUGAACCUCAUUUUCUUACUAGAGACUGGAGCAUAACGGAAUAUUUUGGAAUUGAAGCAGCUUAAUGUUGAAGGUUCUGCACUUGUCUUGAAGCUCAGACUGCCUGGGUGCAAAUCUCAUCCAGCAUGUAAUAACUGUGUGAUGCUGGAAAUAUUUUUUGAAUCAUUAUAAAAGUCUGGAUUCUGAUCCACAAAAUAGAAAUAAUUAUGAUCCCUCUAUUGUAAUUUUAAAAUAAGAUCAUCCUUGCAAAAUAUUUAGCCCUUCUGUUGGCACUUAGUAAGGGCUCUGUAAAUGUUAGCAAUUUAAAUAAGAAAAUGGGGAGGGAAAUUGGUUCAAUAGGAAUCCAGAGAUGAAAAUAUAAAUAAUAAGCAUGUGAAAGACUAUAAAAGGAAUGAGUGUAAAAACUAAAGGAAUAGAGAAAAAUAAAGAAAGAGUAUUUAGAGGACACUAAGUCAAUUUUUUAGAUCACCAUGCCCUCAACUGUUCAAGGAAAAAUCACUAUUUCGAUAUUAAAAAAUAUUUAUUGUGCCACAUCACAGACUAGACACAAUGCCAGACGCCAUUAAAUUAUGUAAUGUAGCCUAUUCUGCACCAACAUCUUUGAGGUGGAUUUUGUCUUUGUCAUUUUGUAGGUGAGAAAACCAAAACUCAAAGGAAUACUGUAGGUCAUAUGGUAAGAAAGAUUUGUAAAUAUCAUUUAAAUAUAGUAUCUUUUGGCUCUAAAUCCAAUGUGCUCUUCCCCCAACACAGAGCUUAUGUACAUGUUUUCCUUCCUUCUCCCCUCUCCUCUUGCUGACCCAUUUUCUACUUCUCUUCCUGUUUUUUGAGCACUCCUUAUGUGUGAAACACUGAAAAAAAAGAAAGUUAAAAUUUGUUCUUUGUCUGUAGUGAUUUUACAGUCUAUUGGAGGACAAAAGCAUGUGAAAAGAUGCAUACAAUUUAACAGGUGACUUCAACAGGGACAUGCAUGGAGUGCCAUUGUUUCUCACAUCAACAUCUGUGCCUGGAAUACAUUCUCUUUGUUUCAGGCUCCCAGAUCCUGAUAUCCUUCUAUCUUUCAAGCCUCAGCUCACGUUUAUCAUUCUCUCCCAUAACUAUACAUACUCAGUGAUUCCCUUUUAUUUGAAUCACUCUUGUGAUUUAUUGUCUAUAUCUGAAGAGCCUAUUAAGAUGCACAGCAUUUGGCAUCACCUCCAGAGUUUAAUAUUUGGAAUCUGGGGUGGGCCCUGAGAAUUUUCACUUUAACAAGUUCCUAGAUGAUCUUGCUGCUGCUGCUCCAGGGAGCAUGCACAGAGCACCAUUUACUACCCCAAAGGGCUCCCUCAGCAUUUGCCAAACAUUCCCUCUGGUCUGAGCUAAUGUUCCUGUUGCAUAGAUCCAGUUUCCUACCUAGCUAUUAGUCCCUUGAGUCCAAGAGAUAUUUCUUCUUACUCUUUGUACCUUCCCAUAGCGAUUAGAAAAGCAUGCCAGUCAAUAGUAAGUGUAGAGGAAGUUUGUUUAACUUGACUGGUUGAUUAGUGGGUUGAUUUACUGCCAGCUCAGUGGCUGUUUCUCUCCCAUUACUUCCACCUCCCAUGAGGACUGCACCUGCGGCAGCGAUUUUAUGUGAACUUGGAUUACUGUAUGGAAAUGGAGGUGAGCAUAUGUAGAUAUUUGUAUUAUCGUAUCUUUCAAAUAACAUCUCUCAAAUAAUGAUACUUGUAAAACUUUUCCUCAUGUUUAUUUGCAGGGUAAUGCAUAGACAGUUGCCUUGGAAACACUCACUCUGAAUAUUCUAAAUUUUCUAUAAUGGAAAAUCUUGCCUUUACCUUAUAAUUUAUAGUCUCUCUCAUUUUUGGAUUUUGCUGAGAAUACAUAAUGAGAUCCAAAUGCUGAUAAAUGUCAUUUUCUGAGGACAUAAUUGUUAUAUUCAUGUAUUAGUUUUGUUAUAAACUCAUUGUUGUCAGUCAGGCUUCUGAAGGACAAUUAUCUAAUAAAAAAUAAAAUUUUAACUAAGGCUAUUUAAAGUUGUGUUUUAACUGCCCUCUGUAUAGUGUCCAUUUCUUUUUUACUUGUACAUUUUAAAAUAUUAGUUUUUUUAUUAUCUCUUCCCUCAUAAAUCAGAAUUAAAGCUGUCAUUUCCACAUUUGUGUUUGUAGAACUGUUAGGCAACUUCUUUUUUAAUGUCAUUAAAUACCAACUAGCCUUAAUAAUUCAGAACAUCUGGUUCCAAAAACCCGAUUACAGGGCACAGUCGUAACACAUUGCAUUUUCUACUAGACUCAGCAUAGUCUCCAUUAGUUAUUGUUCCUGUUUACUCAGUUUUGAGCUAGACUCUCCCAGAGUACCAAUUAUGUCCUGAGAGCAAGUCAGCACACACACAAGGUGAAGAACAAGUUUGACAAUUAUCCUAUUAAUUUGAUCUAUGUUUACAUGUAUAUAGCCAAACCAGAUAAUUCAGUACAAAUAACUCACCCAAAGGACUUAUUAUCUGGGCUGGUUAUCUACAUAGAUCAAACUAGAUCUUAAUAACUCCCAAAUUUCCACUUUACUUUAUGUCCUAUAGACAUAACCAAAGGUGAUUCUACCUGCUCCGGCCUACGCAUGCCGAGCUGUUUCUACAACAGUGGAUUCAGCUUUCAAACUUAUCACAUAAUUACAGAAAAGUUCUUGAAGACUAGAGGUAUCAAAAAUAGCUACUAAUGAGUUAUUAUUGCAUUUAUUAUUUCUAAAUCAACAGGAAUGUAAAAUUUAUUUGCAUUGUCAUUAUCUCUUCUGUGUAGCAUGAAGUCUAAGAUUCAUUUAAAUAUCUGUUCUCAGUCAGGGUCCAUCUGACCACUUAUAUACAGGUACCUCUAACGGAAGAUCCAUCCUCAAUGUGGGUGACAAUCAGCUUGGAGCCCAGAUAGAAAAAAAAAAAAAAAAGAAUUUCCUCUCCGUCUCCUGGAGCUGGAAGACUCUCCUUUAAAAAAAAAAAAAAAAAUCCCCAGUAAAUCCAUCUGCGUGUUUCCCUGUUCCCACCUACCUACAGGAGUGAGAAAGUGUGGGAAUCAUAAAAGAAGGCAGAACCAAAAGACAGAGGGAUCUUGGGCCAUGAGUCACAGCAAGGAAAGCCUCCCACCAAACAUCUGCACUGGACUCCUACAGGAACAAGAAAUGAACUAUCGUGUUCAGCCCCUGAGACUUGGGCUUAACAUGAUUUUCACAUUGUCUACCCUACCUAAUAGAGCAGAGAUGUAAAUAUUAUUCUUAUUUUAGAGGUAAG